GAUGAACGCUGGCGGCGUGCCUAAUACAUGCAAGUAGAACGCUGAAGCUUGGUGCUUGCACCGAGCGGAUGAGUUGCGAACGGGUGAGUAACGCGUAGGUAACCUGCCUCUUAGCGGGGGAUAACUAUUGGAAACGAUAGCUAAUACCGCAUAAAAGACGAUAUCGCAUGAUAUUGAUUUGAAAGGUGCAAAUGCAUCACUAAGAGAUGGACCUGCGUUGUAUUAGCUAGUUGGUGAGGUAACGGCUCACCAAGGCAACGAUACAUAGCCGACCUGAGAGGGUGAUCGGCCACACUGGGACUGAGACACGGCCCAGACUCCUACGGGAGGCAGCAGUAGGGAAUCUUCGGCAAUGGGGGCAACCCUGACCGAGCAACGCCGCGUGAGUGAAGAAGGUUUUCGGAUCGUAAAGCUCUGUUGUAAGAGAAGAACGAGUGUGAGAGUGGAAAGUUCACACUGUGACGGUAACUUACCAGAAAGGGACGGCUAACUACGUGCCAGCAGCCGCGGUAAUACGUAGGUCCCGAGCGUUAUCCGGAUUUAUUGGGCGUAAAGCGAGCGCAGGCGGUUAGAUAAGUCUGAAGUUAAAGGCUGUGGCUUAACCAUAGUACGCUUUGGAAACUGUUUAACUUGAGUGCAGAAGGGGAGAGUGGAAUUCCAUGUGUAGCGGUGAAAUGCGUAGAUAUAUGGAGGAACACCGGUGGCGAAAGCGGCUCUCUGGUCUGUAACUGACGCUGAGGCUCCAAAGCGUGGGGAGCAAACAGGAUUAUAUACCCUGGUAGUCCAAGGGCGAAUUCCACAGUGGAUAUCAAGCUUAUCGAUACCGUCGACCUCUAGGGGGGGCCCCGAUACCCAGAUAUAUAUACACUUUAGUGAGGGUUAAUUUACG
Molecule: ribosomal RNA, 889 nt
Filed under: uncultured Streptococcus sp.
Lineage: Bacteria; Bacillati; Bacillota; Bacilli; Lactobacillales; Streptococcaceae
Description: bacterial SSU rRNA
Rfam family: Bacterial small subunit ribosomal RNA
Source: RNAcentral